This 779-nucleotide ribosomal RNA is filed under the name uncultured soil bacterium. RNAcentral's name for it is "bacterial SSU rRNA". It matches the Rfam family "Bacterial small subunit ribosomal RNA", at positions 8 to 796 of the family's 1533-position model. The record is from RNAcentral.
AGAGUUUGAUCCUGGCUCAGGACGAACGCUUGCGGCGUGCCUAAGAAAUGCAAGUCGAACGGGCACCGGAGCUUGCUCUGGUGUCAGUGGCGAACGGUCGCGUAACACGUAGGCAACCUGCCCCGAAGUGGGGGAUAACAGCCCGAAAGGGUUGCUAAUACCGCAUGUGGCCCGGGUCUCGCAUGGGACCUGGUCUGAAGGGUCUUCGGACUCGCUUGGGGAUGGGCUUGCGGCCUAUCAGGUAGUUGGUGGGGUAACGGCCUACCAAGCCGACGACGGGUAGCUGGUCUGAGAGGAUGGUCAGCCGGAUUGGGACUGAGAUACGGCCCAGACUCCUACGGGGGGCAGCAAUUAGGAAUCUUGCGCAAUGGGCGAAAGCCUGACGCAGCGACGCCGCGUGGAGGAUGACGGGUUUCGGCCUGUAAACUCCUUUUGACAGAGAAGAAGAAUGUGACGGUAUCUGUCGAAUAAGCCCCGGCUAACUACGUGCCAGCAGCCGCGGUAAUACGUAGGGGGCGAGCGUUGUCCGAAGUUACUGGGCGUAAAGCGCGCGUAGGCGGGCCUUUAAGUUCGGGGUGAAAGGUCCAGCGCUCAACGCGGACAGUGCCCUGGAUACUGGGGGGCUUGAGUGUGGGAGGGGGUAGCGGAAUUCCGGGUGUAGCGGUGAAAUGCGUAGAUAUCCGGAGGAACACCGAUGGCGAAGGCAGCUACCUGGCCUGACACUGACGCUGAGGUGCGAAAGCGUGGGGAGCAAACAGGAUUAGAUACCCCCGUAGUCC